GAUGAAGAACGCAGCGAAAUGCGAUAAGUAAUGCGAAUUGCAGAAUUCAGUGAAUCAUCGAAUCUUUGAACGCACCUUGCGCUCCUUGGUAUUCCGAGGAGCAUGCCUGUUUGAGUGUCAUGAAAUUCUCAACCUUUUCAGCUUUCUUUGUUGAUCAGGCUUGGAUGUGGGAGUAUGCGGGCUUCUCAGAAGUCGGCUCUCCUGAAAUGCAUUAGCGGGACCUUUGUUGCCUGGCUUUGGUGUGAUAAUUAUCUACGCCAUUGUAGUCAAGCAGCUUAAAAUGAGGUUUCAGCUUCUAACCGUCUCCCCUGAGACAACUUUUUGACAAUUUGACCUCAAAUCAGGUAGGACUACCCGCUGAACUUAAGCAUAUCAAUAAGCGGAGGA
RNAcentral lists this unclassified non-coding RNA (387 nucleotides) under soil metagenome. RNAcentral's name for it is "partial contains 5.8S ribosomal RNA, internal transcribed spacer 2, and large subunit ribosomal RNA". The stretch from base 1 to 120 matches the Rfam family "5.8S ribosomal RNA", at positions 35 to 154 of the family's 154-position model. The record is from RNAcentral.